This 45-nucleotide non-coding RNA is filed under the name Trichobilharzia regenti. The record is from RNAcentral. Lineage: Eukaryota; Metazoa; Platyhelminthes; Trematoda; Strigeidida; Schistosomatidae.
AUCCAGAUGACGAGUUCCAAAUGGGACGAAAUGCAUAUCCAAGAU